AGUGACGCGGCGCCGGCCAGAAAUCCGACCGGACCGGGCUCGGGGGAGCGUGAGUUGCAGGUGUGUGCCUAUCUUUGCGUCUCUGUUUGAGAGGACAAACUGUGGGGCUGGGACCGCGAGGUGACUGUGACUGAGGAAGAGUGUUAAAAGAAGAUGGAUGCACAGUGUUCAGCCAAGGUCAAUGCAAGGAAGAGGAGAAAAGAGGCGCCCGGACCCAACGGGGCAACAGAAGAAGAUGGGGUUCCUUCCAAAGUGCAGCGCUGUGCAGUGGGCUUACGGCAACCAGCUCCUUUUUCUGAUGAAAUUGAAGUUGACUUUAGUAAGCCCUAUGUCAGGGUAACUAUGGAAGAAGCCAGCAGAGGAACUCCUUGUGAGCGACCUGUGAGAGUUUAUGCCGAUGGAAUAUUUGACUUAUUUCACUCUGGUCACGCCCGAGCUCUGAUGCAAGCGAAGAACCUUUUCCCUAAUACGUACCUCAUUGUGGGAGGUAAGAAAACAUUUGGUGACUUCAGGUGCUGUGCAGAAAAAGAUGAUAGUACAGUCUGUCUUUCUCAGCUGAGUACACUGGCUCUUGUUUCCAUUUUUAAAUGAAGGAUGUAGUACAGCCUCUCUAACACACAUGAAGUAUAUGGGUACCAGCAAACUAAACCUGGAGAGAGGAGCUUCAAGCUCCUCGACUGUGCCGUCUGGCAUUUAUUCACUGCUUGUAGCUGAGUUUCUGCGGUCACAGGAGCAGCCGUGACUUCCGUUGUCCACUUUAAAACAUUUGCUUUAGAUUUCAGUUUAUCAUUUUGAAUUAACUGGAGUACAAACAUCUGCCAAGGAAAUGUUAGGUGGUCCAGUCCAGUGUGAAUAAAACAGGAAAACAUGUUUAAGGACUUAAUUGAUGCAGACACGCACAGCAGGUUUAUUUCAGAGUCAAAGAUCUUGGUCACCUGUUGUGCCGUCCCUUCUCUAAAGUAUGAACAUACUGUUUAGUGAGUGUUGCCCCUGAGGGUAUACGCUGCAUUAGGAAAAGCGUUACCACCCAGGUUCAACCACCUUUAGAAGACUUUCUUCCAGUUGGGGAAGAUGGUUGCAGUCCUAAGCAGUGGGAGAAGAUGGGAGAGGUCGGUGGCUGAGGAGGUGCUAAGCAAAGAGGACUCCAACACACAAUUUAUGAUGUGGUGAACCAGUUUGCAGUGAUGAGCUCACACACAACUUCAAAGGCUUCACGGUGAUGAACGAGAAUGAGCGCUAUGACGCAGUCCAGCACUGCCGCUACGUGGAUGAGGUGGUAAGGAAUGCGCCCUGGACGCUGACACCCGAGUUCCUGGCCGAACACCGGAUUGAUUUUGUAGCCCAUGAUGAUAUUCCUUAUUCAUCUGCUGGCAGUGAUGAUGUUUAUAAGCACAUCAAGGAGGCAGGCAUGUUUGCUCCAACACAGAGGA
RNAcentral lists this small RNA (1430 nucleotides) under Pan troglodytes (chimpanzee). RNAcentral's name for it is "retained intron". The record is from RNAcentral. Lineage: Eukaryota; Metazoa; Chordata; Mammalia; Primates; Hominidae.